GGUGGGUACGGGCAGACUAGAGUGAUGUAGGGGAGACUGGAAUUCCUGGUGUAGCGGUGAAAUGCGCAGAUAUCAGGAGGAACACCGAUGGCGAAGGCAGGUCUCUGGGCAUUAACUGACGCUGAGGAGCGAAAGCAUGGGGAGCGAACAGGAUUAGAUACCCUGGUAGUCCAUGCCGUAAACGUUGGGCACUAGGUGUGGGGGACAUUCCACGUUUUCCGCGCCGUAGCUAACGCAUUAAGUGCCCCGCCUGGGGAGUACGGCCGCAAGGCUAAAACUCAAAGGAAUUGACGGGGGCCCGCACAAGCGGCGGAGCAUGCGGAUUAAUUCGAUGCAACGCGAAGAACCUUACCAAGGCUUGACAUGGACCGGAUCGCUGCAGAAAUGUGGUUUCUCCUUUUGGGGCCGGUUCACAGGUGGUGCAUGGUUGUCGUCAGCUCGUGUCGUGAGAUGUUGGGUUAAGUCCCGCAACGAGCGCAACCCUCGUUCCAUGUUGCCAGCACGUGAUGGUGGGGACUCAUGGGAGACUGCCGGGGUCAACUCGGAGGAAGGUGGGGACGACGUCAAAUCAUCAUGCCCCUUAUGUCUUGGGCUUCACGCAUGCUACAAUGGCCGGUACAAAGGGUUGCGAUACUGUGAGGUGGAGCUAAUCCCAAAAAGCCGGUCUCAGUUCGGAUUGGGGUCUGCAACUCGACCCCAUGAAGUCGGAGUCGCUAGUAAUCGCAGAUCAGCAACGCUGCGGUGAAUACGUUCCCGGGCCUUGUACACACCGCCCGUCAAGUCACGAAAGUUGGUAACACCCGAAGCCGGUGGCCUAACCCCUUGUGGGAGGGAGCCGUCGAAGGUGGGACUGGCGAUUGGGACUAAGUCGUAACAAGGUAACC
This 884-nucleotide ribosomal RNA is filed under the name uncultured bacterium. RNAcentral describes it as "bacterial SSU rRNA". It matches the Rfam family "Bacterial small subunit ribosomal RNA", at positions 625 to 1501 of the family's 1533-position model. The record is from RNAcentral.